Molecule: unclassified non-coding RNA, 220 nt
Filed under: Glomus sp.
Lineage: Eukaryota; Fungi; Glomeromycota; Glomeromycetes; Glomerales; Glomeraceae
Description: partial contains 5.8S ribosomal RNA and internal transcribed spacer 2
Rfam family: 5.8S ribosomal RNA (bases 1-71)
Source: RNAcentral
GUGAAUCAUCGAAUCUUUGAACGCAAAUUGCACUCUCUGGUAUUCCGGAGAGUAUGCCUGUUUGAGGGUCAGUUUAAAUAAAAAUCGGUGUGGUUGCUGCCUUUCGUGGUGACGCACCGGAUUUGGGUCGUCUUGCCUUCGGUUAAGUGACCUAAAAUUUUGCAUGAUUUUUUCAGAACGUAUUAAAUUGUUUUUAUGUACGUUUGCGUAUAGAAAUUCU